RNAcentral lists this ribosomal RNA (253 nucleotides) under uncultured bacterium. RNAcentral's name for it is "partial 16S ribosomal RNA". It matches the Rfam family "Bacterial small subunit ribosomal RNA", at positions 524 to 776 of the family's 1533-position model. The record is from RNAcentral.
UACGUAGGGUGCAGGCGUUAAUCGGAAUUACUGGGCGUAAAGCGUGCGCAGGCGGUUUGCUAAGAGAGAUGUGAAAUCCCCGGGCUUAACCUGGGAACUGCGUUUCUAACUGGCAGGCUUGAGUGUGGCAGAGGGGGGUGGAAUUCCACGUGUAGCAGUGAAAUGCGUAGAGAUGUGGAGGAACACGGAUGGCGAAGGCAGCCCCCUGGGCUAACACUGACGCUCAUGCACGAAAGCGUGGGGAGCAAACAGG